GACGGGUCAGCCCCCCGGAGCAGACACUGGCUUGUCCCGCCCGCCCCGGCGGGAGCCGUCGACCCUACACGGACUUCCCCAGGCUGUCCCCAGCUGUUGCUUUCGGAGCCCAAAAGAAACUGCCCAAGGAGUGGCAAGGCAGUUCUGGGGACGAAAAGGAACCUAAAUAGAGAUCGAGGGGGCCAUGCCACUGAAUCGGGGUCUUUUUUUAGAUUCGUUGUUGUUCCUCACUAUCUCCAAAAGAAAGAAACCCCAGAGCGAGGCUAACCACGCUCAAGAUUUCGAUGAGGAUUAGAGGCUGCAGGACCGACGGAGCGACCCAGGCAAAACGAUGUUCGUUCUUUCCUUUCCUUCCUUCCCGAAAUAUGGGCCGUCUGGGCCCAGGAAGUGUUUGCACUCCCUUCGCGAGAUGGGGAUGACAGUUGUAAGGCCCCCGAGAGAAGUGUGUCCAGUUUUAUGCAUAAACAUUUUUUCUCCGCCCGCGAAAUUCUUCCUCUUCAAUCCACAGGCGGCUUUUUCCCUCUCCGGCCGUUACCCGGCAACACUGAUAUCAACACUUCCUCGAGUGUACGUCACAGAGCCGCUGCUUCUGGGGACUGCUGUCGAAAAGAUUAAAAGCGGAAGCAUCGCGAUAUUUCUUCGAAGCCUCACGAUUUGAGGCAAAGACACUUAAGAGCCGAGAUUACUAGAGGCUAGUGACGCUGAGGCAUCGGGAGAUAACCUCGAAACCGCAAAAUUGUGCACCUGGGUAGUUCCCGCUCCUGUGGUGCUUGAGGAGAAUGCGUGCGGUGGCCGGGUGCCUUCUCUGCUCCUUCACUCGGGUCACUCGCUUUGUCCCGGACCCGGGCCCUCCCUGAAUGCUUCCGGUAUUACUGUCCCACCAAUCCCGCUCCCCGGCUGGCCCACGGCAGUGCCGUCUCUAAAUAAACCCUGCACAGAUCCUCUGCCCUCUUCUGCGUUUUCAAAAGUCAUGGGACUAGUUCUCGAACGCUUCCUUUGUAAAUUAUGCACAUUCGCACUCACGUUGGCAUCUGAUAAUUAUUGUUUUGUCUCCUCUGUCAAAAUUGAGUACCAU
This 1075-nucleotide long non-coding RNA is filed under the name Equus asinus (donkey). RNAcentral describes it as "lncRNA (ENSEASG00005028660.1)". The record is from RNAcentral. Lineage: Eukaryota; Metazoa; Chordata; Mammalia; Perissodactyla; Equidae.